This 1642-nucleotide long non-coding RNA is filed under the name Homo sapiens (human). RNAcentral describes it as "HSALNT0307593". The record is from RNAcentral. Lineage: Eukaryota; Metazoa; Chordata; Mammalia; Primates; Hominidae.
GAGCGAAACUCUGUCUGAAAUAAUAGUAAUAAUAAAUAAAAUUUUAAAAAAUAAAAAUUAGAAGAUGAUUGCUGGAGCUAGAUGCUGAAGGACGUAGGAAUAUUCAGGAAAGAACUAAUCACAGAUUUGUGCUGAACAGGAGCAAAGACUUUAGUUUAUUGGAACCCAUGGAGGACAGGUGAAUAUGUCAACAAGUUUGGAAGUCAAGGCCAUUAUUCUCAAUGGCUUCAUUUUUUUUUUCAGGGACGUAUGAGUUAAGAACAUUGGAUGAGAUUUAGGGAUAGAAACUAAGGUGAGAUGCUUGAGAAUUGCUACCAAAUGGGAGCCAACUAGGGAGCAUAUGGGAGACCUAGCUGAAGCAGAGGCCCGUGCAUUUGUAACGGGGCCAAUCAGCACAAUUGUAUGAUUUUCCACUGGAGCGUCUGGAAGCUUGGAAGGAAAGGCUGAGUAAACAGAGUAUUGGAUUGAUCUCGUAUUGGGAGUUGGCAGGGUUAGUCAGGGUGGAGGGCAGGGAGUUGAGGGGAUGGAGGAUGGAAAGGAAAUGAGUAACCAUUAGCUGGUGAGGAAGAAAGGAAAGCCAGAGGAGGAGUGAAGUAAUGUACGGGGAGCAUUGCCAGGAUUGGAAGGAUGGAAGACUCUGCCAGAUAUAAGACCUUCAGCCUACUCCAUCCAAGGCAUCCAUCUGUCUUCAGAAGAGAUUAGAAUUUUGUUCUGAAGCCAUGCAAAGAGUAAGACCAAGUGCUAACAUCCAAUUUGCAUGUGCCGGGAGAGAAAAUUCUUCAUGGAUCUCUGGUGCUCCUACACAUCUCACUGAUGGAGUAACUGGGGCCAAGGGAGAUUACCAACUUGCCCAAGAUGUCAACAUUAGUAAGAGAAAGAGCCAAAUUUCAAACUCAGGUAGUUUGACUCUACAAUCUGCUAUCUCAACCAGAUUUCCAGCCCAGCUCUUCUCAGUCUUGACACACUGUUUUUCUCAUCAAAGAAUGAUUAACCAUAUUAUUUUGGAAUUGCCUAGGUAAAACUUCCACAUGGCCUGGACAAGACCUCGGAGGUGAUAAAAAUCUUGUAUGACCCUGGGAUUCUCAGAUUUGAAAUCAGAAGGCUCGCUAUUUCAGAAUAAACACAAAGCUAAUAUAGAUAUAGUUGAAAAUUUACAGCCCAAACUUAGACUUAGUUUUGCUUAGCAACUGGACCAAAAUAAUAAACAAGAAGAGAAAUACCUGUUCUCCAGCGAUUUCAUAAAUCUGCCUUCAGUAUAAAUUUUGCAGACAACAUUAAAGAAAGACCUUUGGAGUAGAGCCAAGCCUUUGAAAACCCACUUUAACCUUGUGCUUGGCACUGUGCUAUAAAAAGUUUACUGUGACCUUCCAAAGAAACUGUAAGGGGCCAUUUUGUGGCUCUUAUCUUUUUUUGUUCUCCAUCCCCAGUCUUCUUAAUUACAUUUUCACAUGAACUCUGUGGGUAUUAAAUGAAGCUGGGUCCAUUCAGUAUUUCUGUUCAAUCUUCUCAGAAAAUUGGUUCUGUUUUCUUUGGGCAAUCUAUAGGCAGUUUCUGAUGCAUUUCUCUACCAUUCUGGUAAUGUAUUUAUUUCCCCAGCCAUUUUUCAUAGGGGACACUUCCACCAGUUUAUUUUUUUUUUUUC